CGUGAGCUCUGACAGGGACGCGUCCCACGUUCAUGGAUUUCAGCGGGCCUGGGCAGUUUUAGAAUUGAACGCGUGAAGGUGUUUGUGAGAUAACGCCGUUUCUGAGCUUUUUGAGUUCUUAUCUUUGACAAAUGGACUUUGUUAAUUCAGGACGUUUUGGUCGGAAGGAUGUAGUUGAAUAUUUACUUCAAAGUGGUGCCAAUGUCCACGCUCGAGAUGAUGGAGGCCUUAUUCCUCUUCACAACGCCUGCUCUUUUGGCCAUGCUGAAGUUGUCAAUCUGCUCUUGCGGCACGGUGCAGAUCCUAAUGCUCGAGAUAAUUGGAAUUACACUCCCCUUCAUGAAGCUGCCAUUAAGGGGAAGACAGAUGUCUGCAUUGUACUGUUGCAGCACGGUGCCGAACCAACCAUUCGGAACACAGAUGGAAGAACAGCUUUGGAUUUAGCAGACCCGUCUGCAAAAGCAGUGCUGACUGGUGAAUACAAGAAAGAUGAACUCUUAGAAAGUGCCAGGAGUGGAAAUGAGGAAAAGAUGAUGUCUCUUCUUACACCAUUAAAUGUCAACUGUCAUGCAAGUGAUGGCAGAAAGUCUACUCCAUUACAUUUAGCAGCUGGGUAUAACCGUGUAAAAAUAGUCCAGCUCUUACUGCAGCAUGGAGCUGAUGUACACGCCAAGGAUAAAGGAGAUCUGGUGCCACUUCACAAUGCCUGUUCCUAUGGUCAUUAUGAAGUAACAGAGCUUCUAGUAAAGCAUGGAGCAUGUGUGAAUGCAAUGGAUCUGUGGCAAUUCACCCCUCUGCAUGAAGCAGCUUCUAAGAACAGGGUGGAAGUAUGUUCUCUUUUGUUAAGUUAUGGUGCUGACCCAACACUGUUGAACUGUCACAACAAAAGCACCAUUGAUUUGGCUCCAACACCCCAAUUAAAAGAACGAUUAGCAUAUGAAUUCAAAGGUCACUCACUGCUGCAGGCUGCAAGAGAAUCGGAUGUAGCUCGUAUAAAGAAACAUCUUUCUUUGGAAACAGUGAACUUCAAGCAUCCUCAGACACAUGAGACAGCAUUGCACUGUGCUGCUGCAUCUCCAUAUCCUAAGAGGAAACAAGUAUGUGAAUUGCUACUGAGGAAAGGAGCCAAUAUCAAUGAAAAAACAAAAGACUUCUUGACUCCUCUGCAUGUGGCAUCAGAAAAAGCUCAUAACGAUGUUGUUGAAGUAGUUGUGAAACAUGAAGCUAAGGUUAAUGCAUUAGAUAAUCUUGGCCAGACCUCUCUUCAUAGAGCAGCACAUUGUGGUCAUCUUCAGACAUGCAGGUUGCUGCUGAGUUCUGGAUGUGAUCCUUCCAUCGUGUCUCUGCAGGGCUUUACAGCCUUACAAAUGGGGACUGAAAGUGUGCAACAGCUGCUACAAGAAGGUAUCCCAUUAGGUAAUUCUGAUGCAGAUCGACAGUUGCUGGAGGCUGCCAAGGCUGGAGAUGUGGAUACUGUAAAAAAGCUGUGUACAGUCCAGAGUGUGAACUGCAGAGAUAUUGAAGGACGUCAGUCUACACCACUUCAUUUUGCAGCUGGAUACAACAGAGUAUCUGUUGUGGAGUAUCUUCUUCAGCAUGGAGCUGAUGUACAUGCAAAAGAUAAGGGGGGACUUGUCCCUUUGCAUAAUGCCUGCUCAUAUGGUCACUAUGAAGUUGCAGAGCUGUUGGUUAAACAUGGUGCUGUUGUCAAUGUAGCUGACUUGUGGAAAUUCACUCCCUUGCAUGAAGCUGCAGCAAAAGGAAAAUACGAGAUUUGCAAACUCCUGUUACAGCAUGGAGCUGACCCUACAAAGAAAAACAGGGAUGGAAAUACUCCUCUAGACCUUGUUAAAGAUGGUGAUACUGAUAUUCAAGACCUGCUAAGAGGAGAUGCAGCUCUCCUAGAUGCUGCAAAGAAAGGUUGUUUGGCCCGAGUGAAAAAGCUCUGUUCACCUGACAAUGUCAACUGUCGGGACACACAAGGACGGCAUUCAACACCUCUACAUUUAGCAGCUGGUUACAAUAAUUUGGAGGUUGCAGAAUACCUGUUGCAGCAUGGAGCAGAUGUGAAUGCACAGGAUAAAGGAGGCUUGAUUCCUCUGCAUAAUGCAGCAUCUUAUGGGCAUGUUGAUGUAGCAGCUUUACUUAUAAAAUACAAUGCAUGUGUGAAUGCUACAGACAAAUGGGCUUUCACACCACUUCAUGAAGCAGCCCAGAAAGGAAGGACUCAGCUUUGUGCCUUGUUACUGGCACAUGGGGCUGAUCCCACUCUGAAAAACCAAGAAGGACAAACACCACUGGACCUGGUCACUGCAGACGAUGUCAGUGCGUUACUGACUGCAGCAAUGCCUCCUUCUGCCUUACCGACUUGCUACAAACCUCAGGUUAUAAGUGUGUCUCAGACUACAGGUUCUGCAGCUGAUUCCCUCUCUUCUGUUCCAUCCAGUCCAUCCAGUCUGUCUGCUGCAAGUAGUCUUGACAAUUUGUCUGGUAGUUUUUCUGAACUUCCCUCUGUUGUUGGUACAAACUGUGCAGAGGGAGCUACUGUUCUGGAGAAAAAAGAAGUUUCAGGUGUAGAUUUUAGCAUUAAUCAGUUUGUGCGGAACCUUGGCCUUGAACAUCUAAUUGACAUAUUUGAGAGAGAGCAGAUAACAUUGGACGUAUUGGUUGAAAUGGGACACAAAGAAUUGAAGGAGAUUGGCAUUAAUGCUUAUGGCCAUAGGCAUAAAAUCAUCAAAGGAGUUGAAAGACUUAUUUCUGGACAACAAGGACUUAACCCAUACCUGACUCUGAAUACUUCUGCUAGUGGAACUAUUCUCAUAGACCUUUCCACUGAAGACAAGGAAUUUCAGUCUGUAGAAGAAGAGAUGCAGAGUACUGUCCGAGAGCACAGAGAUGGAGGACAUGCUGGUGGAGUCUUCAAUAGAUACAACAUCUUAAAGAUUCAGAAAGUGUGCAACAAAAAACUAUGGGAAAGAUACACGCACAGAAGGAAAGAGGUCUCUGAAGAGAAUCAUAACCAUGCCAAUGAAAGGAUGCUGUUUCAUGGCUCCCCAUUUGUGAAUGCAAUCAUUCACAAAGGCUUUGAUGAGAGACAUGCCUAUAUAGGCGGCAUGUUUGGAGCUGGGAUUUAUUUUGCUGAAAAUUCUUCCAAAAGCAAUCAGUAUGUGUAUGGAAUUGGAGGUGGCACUGGAUGUCCAAUUCACAAAGAUAGAUCUUGCUAUGUUUGCCACAGGCAGUUGCUCUUCUGUCGUGUAACAUUGGGCAAGUCCUUCCUGCAGUUCAGUGCCAUGAAAAUGGCUCAUUCUCCCCCAGGACAUCACUCAGUGACUGGGCGGCCCAGUGUAAAUGGAUUGGCAUUGGCAGAAUAUGUCAUUUACAGAGGAGAGCAGGCUUAUCCAGAAUACUUGAUUACUUACCAGAUUAUGAAACCUGAAGCCACCACUGAAGCUUAAGACAAGUUACUUGUGGGAAACCAUCAGACUUUGGAUGCGAAGAUAUCAAUGGCUGCCAUUCCAAUAAUAAGUUUUUUUUUAAAAAAAAGUCCCAUUCCCAGGAGGUGUGGUAGCAAAUGUGAACAAAAUAUACCAGUUUUGACUUGAUAAAGCUUUAAUAAUGUACAGUAUGUUUUUCUAAAAUUUCAGAAAUGUCCUCUUUUUCAGCACUUUAACAGAUACCAUUCCAGGCAUAAACUGGGGUUUGGCUGUACUAAAUUAUAAACAAAAAUUAACUUGAAACAAUGGUUUUAUACAUUACUGCAUUCAAACCUAGCAGAAAUUGUAAUGGUCUAUACAGGAACUCAUUUUACUAAUAUUGUGUUCUUUAAAACACUGCAUUUACACUGAAAACGUUUUCAUUUGUAAAACUGUAAAUAAGAGCUUUUGUACUAGCCUGGUAUUUAUUUACAUUGCUUUGUAAUAUAAGUGUUUUAGAACUGCAAUCUUGUACAAAAUGUUCUUUCCAGAUGUGGGUUUGUUCAUCUGUGUUUUCUCGUGCGAGAUAGAUUUGAAAAGUCAAUUUUUUUCAGGUUUUAUCACUUAAUUGUGAGGGAGAAAGCAAAUUUUAUCUGAAGAGAUUUAGAAAUAUCCAACUUUAGAUUGAAUACGCAAAUUUUUGUUCUGUAUUUUUAUUUAUGAAUAUACAUUCCUGAGAAUGGUGGGCUGUGAAAAUAGAAUGUUCCAGACAAGUACUAAAGUGAUUUUCCACCUACUUCCUAGAGUUGCAUAUUUUAUUUCUGUAAAAUGCCUUUUGAAGUUUUUUAUUUAACUGUAGGUAUAGUUAACCUGUAUCCUCACUUCAAGGCUAGUAGACCUUGCAAGUUACAGUUUUAGUAAAUUAUUUUCUUUGAAUGUAGAUGGAAAAUUAACCUCAAGAAGUUCUUUCUUGAGUUUCUCUUGCUUACAUUUAAGCCAGGAAGGUAAAUAGUUUAUUCCUAAUACGAGAGCAAAACAACUUGGCCUUUUUUGUAUGCUUUUUUUGGUAGAUUAAUCUACUUGUUGGUGCCCUCAGAAUAUGAGCAUUGCAAGGUGGAAAUGUUAAAAGCCAUCCUCUCUCAUCUCCUGUGUCUCGUCCAUGUUAACAUUCAAGCUGUGGUUGAAGCAGAUAACUGCAUGGGUGUGAUACAUACCUGAGCAACAACAGAAGGAACUGUUUAGGUCACUGGUAAUAUUGCAAUAAGCCCAGAGGUUUCUGGCUUUGUGUUGUUCAGCUGCUUUUCAAAAAGGUAACCUUUGCCAGCAUUUGGUAAACUCUUAUUUAUCUCACAAUAAAUUUAUUCAUUUGCACUUACUUACUUCACAAGAAAUCUAUUCAAUUUUGUGGGGCUGUGGACAUCAUAGAUCAAUAGAUGUGUACAGAAAUAGAAUUUCUUACUAGCCUGAUAAAGAAGCUGGUAAGUAAAUUAAGUAGGUAUUGUUUUAAUUAAUGAUAGAGUAAGCUACUUAGCAGUCCAAAAGUGUAAUCUUUAAAUAAAUAAACCUGUAUAUGAUAACCAAUGUCUGAUCAUGGUUCCCUAUUUGAAAGUAUUUUACUGAAGCAUUGCAAACAUGAAAUUAACUAAUUAGAUUUGAAAUUAAAGAGGUUUACUUUGAAUAAUAGGUAUUCAUUAGAGCACUUGUUUUCAUCAAAGUCUAAUUUAGUAUUUAGGGAAAAAACCUACUUAGCAGUUGGGUACUAAAACUUCAAGAUUUAUAAAUAAUAAAAAAAUACAUAAAUAAGUGCAAUUUUUACAGACAGCAGCAUAGUUCCAGUAAAAACAUGAGGCCCCUGAAGCACAUUGUGUCAAAGAUGUUAUUUAAUGCAAAGAUUCUAAACCAAGUAAUCAGACAGUGAAAAAAUCAGACAGAAAAAAAUCUGACUUCAAACUAAAUGGGCUAAUGUUAAAGCUUAUUUCAAAAUAUUAGGAAUGUGAAAAUACAGUAGAAACUGCAAAAUGAUAGGUUUUAAGAAAACAUUCUCCUAUUGGGAGUAAAUCUCUGAAUGGAGAACCAUUUAGCACAUUACUAGAGAGAUGGAUUUCUGAAGAUGCAGAACAGACCUUGAGAAAAAAUGAGAUUUAAAAAAAAGGAAGGGAGCAGAGGUGUGGGUGUAAUUAGCUGAGCAUCUCAGAGUGGUGGCAACUACAUUAACAGAGAAAAUCAGGUCAGUGGUACACCACAAGGUCAAGAAAACAGUCCACACUAAAUUAUAGUGAAAGGCACCAAGUGUCUUGAUAAGGAGGAAAAAUUAGAGAAACAUGCUGCUCUUUUUUGUCAGUGUGUCAGAUUGCUGCAUUUCUGAAAUAAAAAAUUUACAGCGACCCUUCUGUCCAACAUCCUACAUAUAUAUGCCAUGUAAGCAUUUUGGGCAGCUUUAAAAGCCUCUUGGCAUUUGUAUAAUCAGACUCAAAAUGAGGUGGAGAGGCAGAAUGAUGAGCUAGCUCAUUUCAAGCAAUUCUCAAUAGUAGCUCAGAGCAGAUAAGUCCCGGGGGGAAUUCUAAUGGGAAUAACCCAUUAUGGAUAGGACUGGACAAAUAUGGAAACCUGCUUUUUUAUGUAAUUGUAUAUUAAACCAUAUUCCAAAGCACUUCUGAAAUACCACCUGCUAUUAAAAAUGUUCUUAGUCAAUUAUAAAUUUGGAAACACUAAUAAAAACAAAUAUUUAUAAAAUGCAGAAAGAAAUAAUAGUAAUUUCAGACCUGGAGCAGUUAAGUGGAAUAUUUCAGUUAAAAGGCAGAUUUCACACUUAGUGUAAAUAGAUUUAUUCAGGGAUGUGCUUUAAAGUUUUGAAUAGUUUUAUUCAUGUGAGUACCAUGUGUCAGUUGUGGGGACAUGGUCCACCACAUAAACUGAAACCAUGACAAUACUUUGCAAGAGAUACAAGAACCUUGUGGCAAAUUUUAAAAGCCAAGGACUCAUAUAAAAUAGUCCAUAAACUCUUGAGUUUAGAUAUGCCUCCUCCAGGUCUUCUGAGACUUCCCUCCCCUUUCUCAGAAAUACCAGCUGUUCAGUAAAGCAGUUUAACAAAAUGUAUGAGUUAAAUAUUUCAUAUAUCAAGUUUCAGCUGGACUUAGUUUUUUGUAAAGAAGAAAGAAUAAUGGUGUGACUUUGUACAAUUAAUAGCUUAGAUAUUAUUGUGUGAUAGGGUGCAUUGUAAUGUAUUACAGAUGUUUUACUGCAAUAUCAAUAAAUAACAUGUUUUCCUUUAAAAAAAGAAACAAA
Passer montanus (Eurasian tree sparrow) is the source of this 6698-nucleotide RNA transcript. It is a transcript of the gene named tankyrase 2, with no coding region annotated. The transcript has 29 exons. The record is from RefSeq and is a predicted model, not a curated record. Lineage: Eukaryota; Metazoa; Chordata; Aves; Passeriformes; Passeridae.